GGGCUUGUAACUCAGUGGUAGAGUGCCACAUUUGCAUGUAUCAACAGAAAUUGUGGAAGUCGGGGUUUCGACUACCCCCAAGUCCA
RNAcentral lists this transfer RNA (86 nucleotides) under Paecilomyces variotii No. 5. RNAcentral describes it as "Byssochlamys spectabilis No. 5 tRNA". It matches the Rfam family "tRNA". Rfam says of the family: Transfer RNA (tRNA) molecules are approximately 80 nucleotides in length. Their secondary structure includes four short double-helical elements and three loops (D, anti-codon, and T loops). Lineage: Eukaryota; Fungi; Ascomycota; Eurotiomycetes; Eurotiales; Thermoascaceae. The record is from Rfam by way of RNAcentral.